ACAUGCAAGUCGAGCGAUGAGAUCCCUUCGGGGAUGGAUUAGCGGCGAACGGGUGAGGAACACGUGGGCAACCUGCCCCUGACUUUGGGAUAACUCCUCGAAAGAGGAGCUAAUACCGGAUACGAACUCCUUGGGCAUCCUUGGAGUUGGAAAGUUUUUCGGUCAGGGAUGGGCCCGCGGCCUAUCAGCUAGUUGGUGAGGUAACGGCUCACCAAGGCGACGACGGGUAGCCGGCCUGAGAGGGCGACCGGCCACACUGGGACUGAGACACGGCCCAGACUCC
Molecule: ribosomal RNA, 283 nt
Filed under: unidentified marine bacterioplankton
Lineage: Bacteria
Description: partial 16S ribosomal RNA
Rfam family: Bacterial small subunit ribosomal RNA
Source: RNAcentral